GCAACAGGCCUUUAUGUGGUUAAUGUUUCAGCACCUCUAGGUUUCUGGGUUUAUGUCCUCUAUGAGGUCACUUGUUCCUCAAAUGUAGCAUACUGGAUUGAUAUUAAAGAAUGGGCUGCUAUGAGGUCACUGGCUCAGCACAUAUGACAUGCUAGGUUGGUAAUGGUGAAAGCACUGACAUAGAGUUCCGGCUACAGCACUUCCAGGCUCCUGGCUGAAGCCAAGCGGGACUUUGUCAAGAUACUAGCUCGGUACCUCCAUCUUCCUAGCAUGAGUCUGGACACAGGCCUCAGGUCUCUGGCACAGAACCACUACUUUGCUGGGGCCAGUGAACAUCCAGGAAGUUCUAGAGUCUCUUCUUUGACUGUGAAUGCUUUGGAGAAGCACAAGGACAGCAAGACUACCUUGGGAUUUAUGAAAGAUGGAGUACUUUGGGGCUGAAUGCCACAUCAGUUCAAAAGACCACCUUGUCCAAAUGGAACACACAGUACUUAUUCUAUUGAGAGGUUUCCUUAUUCUGAGACUUGCCUGGUCAGAUGUAAUAAAGGCAUGACAGGA
Mauremys reevesii (Reeves's turtle) is the source of this 558-nucleotide long non-coding RNA. RefSeq lists it as uncharacterized. The record is from RefSeq and is a predicted model, not a curated record. The transcript has 2 exons. NCBI's taxonomy places the organism in Eukaryota, Metazoa, Chordata, Testudines, Geoemydidae.